Long non-coding RNA from Monodelphis domestica (gray short-tailed opossum), 1675 nucleotides. The record is from Ensembl. NCBI's taxonomy places the organism in Eukaryota, Metazoa, Chordata, Mammalia, Didelphimorphia, Didelphidae.
GAAGAAGAAGAAGAAGAAGAAGAAGAAGAAAGAGAGAAAAACGGGGGAGAAUGUGAGGAGGAGAGGGGGGGAGAAGAGAAAAAAAGGAGAGGAGAGAAGAGAGAUGAGAGAGAGAGAGAGAGNAAAGAAGAGAGAGAGAGAGAGAGAGAAAGAAAGAAAGAAAGAACGUUUGAAAGAAAGAAAGAAAGAAAGAAAGAAAGAAAGAAAGAAAGAAAGAAAGAAAGAAAGAAAGAAAGAAAGAAAGAAAGAAAGAAAGAAAGAAAGAAAGAAAGAAAGAAAGAAAGAAAGAAAAAGAGAGAGAGAGAGAAAGUGAGGAAGGAAGGAAGGAAGAGAGAGAGAAAGAGAGAGAGAGAGAAAGAGAGGAAGGAAGGAAGAAAGAGAGAGAGAGAGAAAGAAAGAAAGAGAGAAAGAAAGAAAGAAAGAAAGAAAGAAAGAAAGAAAGAAAGAAAGAAAGAAAGAAAGAAAGAAAGAAAGAAAGAAAGAAAGAAAGAAAGAAAGAAAGAAAGAAAGAAAGAAAGAAAGAAAGAAAGAAAGAAAGAAAAAGAAAGAAAGAAAGAAACCCCUCAGCGGCCCCUUUUCUUAUUCCAUGGGACGAGGACAGUUGGAUCUUGGAGGGGGGGGAGGGGGGAUCACUUGUCCCAAAGAGAAAACAUGCUCGAAAUUGCCCUAACCUAGAAGUGAAACCUUUGUUCCCUCAGCUUGGCAGCCUGUAAAAUAACCAUUUAUUUUAAUGUAUCUUAAACAGCAAUAACAAACAGCCCAAACUCCAGUGAUAAAUGUCCUUUUCCCAAUCAACAGCCUAAAGUGCCAACAGUCACCCCUCCCGCCGCUCUCCUCUCGCCUUACAGAAACGUGUCCUCUCUCUCUCGCUCUCGCUCUCUCUACACUGUUAGGAAAACUUUAGAAAUAAUAAUAAUAAUAAUAAUACACAAUAACAAGCCUGUGGGUCUUUUCCGUUUAAGAGCUCUGUCCCGGGGCCAAUCCUGGCCCCCGGCCACCUUCGGACCCCGGGCCGAGGGGAGGGGCCGGCUUGGAUCACUUUCACUGGUCCCUCCAUCUUCCCGGAGCGCUAAGCUGGGGCUCUCCCAGGCCGUGUCCAUGGGCUCCUGGAGGGCCCUCACAGUCCCAGGGCGGGAGCUGAGGGUGGGCGCACGGGGAGUCGGAUGGCGUUGGGUGGAGGGGACUGGGGUGAUCCCACGCAAGGCCGCUUUGGAGCGUCGCCUGGGGUCCCCGGGGCCGCCCAAGUUUGCUCCGAAGGGGGCGUUCUAGAACUCUGCCACGGUCCUGCUCGCUUCACCGCCGGUCCGAGCCAAUUCUGGGCACACUGGGCAGAGGAAAGAGAAGUCUGCCCAGAGAGGAACCUCGCGGAGAAAGCUGGCCCGGUCAUGUCCUGUCAUGUAACGCCGCAACAACGUAGCGCUGCCGCCACGGAACUCGGGGACGAGGGAACAAAGGAACAAUAACAACACUGCUGGGAGGGACGGCGGCCGGCGGCCCGGGCUCGAAAACCCUUUCCCUCUUAGCCUGCCGGCCGACCCUUGAGCUCCACCUCUUGGUGCAAAGUUUCUGCGGUCAGGCCCGGAGCAGGCCGGCCGCCGCCCCUCCGUCCACAGUCCAGCGGCCAGGCCUGGAGGGUCCGUGCGGUGAGCGGGGCCGCGAGUGUCAGAGGGAGGAA